UACGAAGGGGGCUAGCGUUGUUCGGAAUCACUGGGCGUAAAGGGUGCGUAGGCGGCGCGGUAAGUCAGAUGUGAAAUCCGGAGGCUCAACCUCCGAAUUGCAUCCGAUACUCCCGCGCUAGAGAAUUGUAGAGGAGCUUGGAAUUCUCGGUGUAGCAGUGAAAUGCGUAGAUAUCGAGAAGAACGCUCGCAGCGAAAGCGAAGCUCUGGGCAAUUUCUGACGCUGAUGCACGAAGGCUAGGGGAGCAAACGGG
RNAcentral lists this ribosomal RNA (253 nucleotides) under uncultured bacterium. Its description in RNAcentral is "partial 16S ribosomal RNA". It matches the Rfam family "Bacterial small subunit ribosomal RNA", at positions 524 to 776 of the family's 1533-position model. The record is from RNAcentral.